UACGUAGGGGGCAAGCGUUGUCCGGAUUUAUUGGGCGUAAAGCGCGUGUAGGCGGCUGGGUAGGUCCGCUGUGAAAACUCGAGGCUCAACCUCGAGACGUCGGCGGAAACCAUCCAGCUAGAGUCCGGAAGAGGAGAGUGGAAUUCCUGGUGUAGCGGUGAAAUGCGCAGAUAUCGGGAAGAAUACCCGUGGCGAAGGCGGUUCUCUGGGACGGUACUGACGCUGAGACGCGAAAGCGUGGGGAGCGAACAGG
RNAcentral lists this ribosomal RNA (253 nucleotides) under uncultured bacterium. RNAcentral describes it as "partial 16S ribosomal RNA". It matches the Rfam family "Bacterial small subunit ribosomal RNA", at positions 524 to 776 of the family's 1533-position model. The record is from RNAcentral.